This is a long non-coding RNA of Ornithodoros turicata, 583 nucleotides long. RefSeq lists it as uncharacterized. The transcript has 4 exons. The record is from RefSeq and is a predicted model, not a curated record. NCBI's taxonomy places the organism in Eukaryota, Metazoa, Arthropoda, Arachnida, Ixodida, Argasidae.
CAGCAACUGGGCGUCUACGGGUGCACUGUCGAUACUCCAGCUCCAAGACUAGUUGCUGGGGUAAAACAGGAAGAAGUAGUUGGGAGUUGAGAGUGAAAGAAAGAAGAUGAAGUUAUGUGGUUGCUGUGUGGAUGCAGAAUCGAUCGGCUGUAGCAUUGCUAGUUCGUCAUGCAAGGGAUUUCACCAUCUGGUAGAAGUUGGCGCCAGACCUGCCCACUGGAGCAUACGUAUACCAUGGCUCGGCAGGGUUAUUCCCCUUCGCCACAGCGGUGGACAACUGCAUGGCACUGCAAGCUUCAGCAGCCUCAGCCGAAUCGUCUGCACCCCCGACUGUCUUGGGGUCAUUCCAUGGUCCUGAGGAGGAGCGCUGUCAGCUUCAACAAGUACUGCGGCAGUACUACACCAUCUUCACGGAAAAUCCCGGUAUGUCUCCCAAAGGAAGUGCAGGAGUAGUCACGGCCCUGGACGCUCUCCAGGGGCUAGUUCGACCGCAUGGCCUCAGGUUCCGAGCCAACCCACGCCACCACCUCACCGGUCAGUGGGUACAUGAACCAUCCUAGCGAGAGACAGACCUGUAUCGUGG